RNAcentral lists this ribosomal RNA (207 nucleotides) under uncultured bacterium. RNAcentral describes it as "partial 16S ribosomal RNA". It matches the Rfam family "Bacterial small subunit ribosomal RNA", at positions 568 to 774 of the family's 1533-position model. The record is from RNAcentral.
CGCGCAGGCGGUCUCUUAAGUCAGAUGUGAAAGCCCGGGGCUCAACCCCGGAAGUGCAUUUGAAACUAAGGGACUUGAGUAUGGGAGAGGGAAGUGGAAUUCCUGGUGUAGCGGUGAAAUGCGUAGAUAUCAGGAGGAACACCGGUGGCGAAGGCGACUUCCUGGACCAAUACUGACGCUGAGGCGCGAAGGCGUGGGGAGCAAACA